RNAcentral lists this ribosomal RNA (440 nucleotides) under uncultured bacterium. RNAcentral's name for it is "partial 16S ribosomal RNA". It matches the Rfam family "Bacterial small subunit ribosomal RNA", at positions 338 to 795 of the family's 1533-position model. The record is from RNAcentral.
CCUACGGGAGGCAGCAGUGGGGAAUAUUGCACAAUGGGGGAAACCCUGAUGCAGCGACGCCGCGUGAGUGAAGAAGGAAUUCGUUAUGUAAAGCUCUAUCAGCAGGGAAGAAAAUGACGGUACCUGAGUAAGAAGCCCCGGCUAACUACGUGCCAGCAGCCGCGGUAAUACGUAGGGGGCAAGCGUUAUCCGGAUUUACUGGGUGUAAAGGGAGCGUAGACGGCAGUGCAAGUCUGGAGUGAAAGGCUGGGGCUCAACCCCCGGACUGCUCUGGAAACUGUAAGGCUGGAGUGCAGGAGAGGUAAGUGGAAUUCCUAGUGUAGCGGUGAAAUGCGUAGAUAUUAGGAGGAACACCAGUGGCGAAGGCGGCUUACUGGACUGUAACUGACGUUGAGGCUCGAAAGCGUGGGGAGCAAACAGGAUUAGAUACCCCAGUAGUC